UUUUAUGGACGUUCAUCGGAGCAGAAAAAAAAAUAAUAUUCGUAUAAAAGAUUACCCAGCUUGAGAAAAGAUUUACAUUUUGAAUCAUCGAGGUGCAAUUAAGAAGACAGUCUAGACUUCGUACGGCCUCACGCUUGGCGAAUACUUUAAAUGGACGUUUCUAAAAAUACUGGCAUGCUCCGAGUGCUAGCCUCGUCGUCUGAAAUUUAGUAUCAUUAUGUGGUCUCUUCGAGGCGGAACAAUCUCACGGAAUUGUCACGAAUGAAAUGACAAUCCGACGUCGCGUUAAUUCUCCACGAUAAAUUAUGAAACAGGUGCAACAGGAUAUCUUUCGCCUGCGUGUAAAUACAGAAUUCACUGUUUUCCUUGUUAAUUAUAUUGCAUAUAUUAUCAAUUUCAAAAUGGUUUAAUAAGUGAUCGUAAAUUACGUAUUGUAUUGAAGUUAACCUCUAAAAAUAUCAUUAAAUUUGUCCAUCAUCGUUCCAAGAAAAAAAUUAAUCGUAAUAUUUCAGACGUAUAACAUUAUAACACUGAUUGUUAUUGAGAUUUAAAUUCUUUCUGUUCAUCGGAUGAAUGAAUUUCUGAUAAAGAGUAUUUAUGCAAGUAACAUUUCGUUUGCGACACGACGAUUACUUAGCAUCACGGAUAGAAGAGGAGGAGAGCAACGAGAAAAGAGUGAGAGACGGAGAGAGGCUCAGCUUUGUGGUUUGUUGUCUAACUAAUUCAAGGGAAGCGAACUGCCUCAGGUCGCAAUCGAUAAUUCUCGCUUGAAUCGUUUAAUCACGUUUUAUCAUUUGUCGUUUUGAUAUCGUUAAUUGUUAUCUCUCCGACACGAUUAUUCUGUUUAAUUAAUUAAGUUAAAAGAAAAGCAUCUUUGUCUCUCUUGUCAACUCGAUAUAUACGUGUCGGUGAUGCUCGCCAAACUCGUUUAAAUAUCGAUGGUGUUGUUAGUUUUCUUUUAAUUAUCUCUACCAACGCUCGCCUCGAAUGGCCUAAAAUUCUCGGCUUGGCUGGAAACGGUCCAUUUACGCGCACGUAUUUGAUUGCAGGCUAUUCGAGAGGGGAAGCGUUCAGCCGGCGAGAAACAAGAAGUAACGGGGGGCAUAGAAGUGGCGAGGAGGAGGAAAGUAGGACGAGCAACGUCUUCUCCUCGAGUAGCCUCGACUAUUCUUUUUUUUUCCAAGAGCGUAAUUGCCGGUUUUCGAA
Apis dorsata (giant honeybee) is the source of this 1206-nucleotide long non-coding RNA. RefSeq lists it as uncharacterized. The record is from RefSeq and is a predicted model, not a curated record. NCBI's taxonomy places the organism in Eukaryota, Metazoa, Arthropoda, Insecta, Hymenoptera, Apidae. The transcript is spliced from 2 exons.